AAACUUUCAACAACGGAUCUCUUGGCUCUGGCAUCGAUGAAGAACGCAGCGAAAUGCGAUAAGUAAUGUGAAUUGCAGAAUUUAGUGAAUCAUCGAAUCUUUGAACGCACAUUGCGCCCCUUGGUAUUCCGAGGGGCAUGCCUGUUCGAGCGU
This 153-nucleotide ribosomal RNA is filed under the name Erysiphe pisi. RNAcentral's name for it is "5.8S ribosomal RNA". It matches the Rfam family "5.8S ribosomal RNA". Rfam says of the family: 5.8S ribosomal RNA (5.8S rRNA) is a component of the large subunit of the eukaryotic ribosome. It is transcribed by RNA polymerase I as part of the 45S precursor that also contains 18S and 28S rRNA. RNAcentral also lists the same sequence under 3 other names. Lineage: Eukaryota; Fungi; Ascomycota; Leotiomycetes; Helotiales; Erysiphaceae. The record is from RNAcentral.